RNAcentral lists this transfer RNA (72 nucleotides) under Camelus bactrianus (Bactrian camel). It matches the Rfam family "tRNA". Rfam says of the family: Transfer RNA (tRNA) molecules are approximately 80 nucleotides in length. The record is from Rfam by way of RNAcentral. Lineage: Eukaryota; Metazoa; Chordata; Mammalia; Artiodactyla; Camelidae. RNAcentral also lists the same sequence under 1 other name.
GAGGAUAUAGCUCAGCGACAGAGCACAUGCUUAGCAAGCACAAAGUCCUGGGUUCAAUCCUCAGUACCGCCA